GUGUCAGCAGCCGCGGUAAUACGGAGGGUGCAAGCGUUAUCCGGAUUCACUGGGUUUAAAGGGUGCGUAGGCGGGCAGGUAAGUCCGUGGUGAAAUCUCUGAGCUUAACUCAGAAACUGCCAUGGAUACUAUUUGUCUUGAAUAUUGUGGAGGUAAGCGGAAUAUGUCAUGUAGCGGUGAAAUGCUUAGAUAUGACAUAGAACACCAAUUGCGAAGGCAGCUUACUACACAGUUAUUGACGCUGAGGCACGAAAGCGUGGGGAUCAAACAGGAUUAGAUACCCUGGUAGUCC
RNAcentral lists this ribosomal RNA (292 nucleotides) under uncultured bacterium. RNAcentral describes it as "partial 16S ribosomal RNA". It matches the Rfam family "Bacterial small subunit ribosomal RNA", at positions 505 to 796 of the family's 1533-position model. The record is from RNAcentral.